GCCUGGGUGGCUCAGUCGGUUGGGCAGCCGACUUCAGCCCGGGUCAUGAUCUCGCAAUCUGUGGGUUCGAGCCCCGCACCAGGCU
This is a transfer RNA of Felis catus (domestic cat), 85 nucleotides long. It matches the Rfam family "tRNA". Rfam says of the family: Transfer RNA (tRNA) molecules are approximately 80 nucleotides in length. Their secondary structure includes four short double-helical elements and three loops (D, anti-codon, and T loops). Lineage: Eukaryota; Metazoa; Chordata; Mammalia; Carnivora; Felidae. The record is from Rfam.